AGAGUUUGAUCCUGGCUCAGAAUCAACGCUGGCGGCGUGCCUCAGACAUGCAAGUCGAACGCGAAAGUUCCCUUCGGGGGGCAAGUAGAGUGGCGCACGGGUGAGUAACACGUAGGUAAUCUACCUUUGGAUUGGGAAUAACCACCGGAAACGGUGGCUAAUACCGAAUAAUGCAGCGGCACCUAAUGGUGACAGUUGUUAAAGCGGGGGAUCGCAAGACCUCGCGUCUGAAGAGGAGCCUGCGGCAGAUUAGCUAGUUGGUAAGGUAACGGCUUACCAAGGCGAUGAUCUGUAGCCGGCCUGAGAGGGCGGUCGGCCACACUGACACUGACAUACGGGUCAGACUCUUACGGGAGGCAGCAGUCGGGAAUUUUGGGCAAUGGGCGAAAGCCUGACCCAGCAACGCCGCGUGAAGGAUGAAAUCCCUCGGGACGUAACCUUCGCAAGAACGGGAAGAAUAAGUAAGGGUUAAUAUCUCUUACGAUGACGGCUACCUGUUUAAGUUAAGUUC
This 511-nucleotide ribosomal RNA is filed under the name uncultured soil bacterium. RNAcentral describes it as "bacterial SSU rRNA". It matches the Rfam family "Bacterial small subunit ribosomal RNA", at positions 8 to 494 of the family's 1533-position model. The record is from RNAcentral.